GUAUAGCAUAUGGAUUAAAAAAAAAAGAUGGCCAGGCAAUACAGAGUAUUUAGACUCAUUCACAGUAGACUUUGCUCAAUCAACCCUGAUUUUCCUGAGCUUCCUUUUAAAUCACCCCCUUCAGGACCUGUGUGUUGUGGUUAAAACAGCUCAGACAAACAGCAGCCUCCUGCCCUCAGGCAGCUGUUGUAAUUUGACUUGGAGACAGCGCCUCCACACCACAGCACUCAGCAGUUUGGCUUCGAUUCAGGCAAAUCUAAUUGGUCACCAUGGCUACGAGCUGUCUGAAUACUGUCGCCAUCUCCCACUGUAACACAGAGUGAGCGGGGAGGUAGCUAACAGUCCAUUAAUCAGGUGUGCAGAUUGAGAUUUCAGCUCAGUUUAAAGAAGCUAAAAAGCUAAAGGUUUAUUCAUUCAGUUAGCAUUUUAAACAUGUCUGACUCAAAUUUUUUUCAACACCGUUUGUCCUCACCUCAACCCUGAAGCAAAGCACUGUUGUCAAAGUUAAUGAGGCAACCCUGGCGUCCCCAGAGGAAGACUUUGGGGAGAAGUCAGCAUUCCCCCAGCAGACUUCCUGAUUAGUAUUUCUUUCCGUAGGCUCCCACGGCAACGACCCAGCGGCCGCCUACAGCGACGCAAAGCAGGGGAGGCAGAUGUACGUCUCCUCAGCAGCUGAGGAGAGGAAAGAGUCUGCCGAGGAGGAAGAGGAGGAGGAGGAUGAGGAGGAAGACAGGGAGGAGGAGGAGGAGCAGAGACCCUUGUGUUCUGGUGUCCUGGGCUACCCGGUGGUUAGGGACCACACUCUGGGCCUCGGACUGAGCAGCACACCAGAUGAACCGGCUGGAGACAACACGCACAACCAGGAAUAUAAAGAGCUCCACGUGGACGAGUGGGUCCACCAGCACCCCGGCGACAGCAUGGAGGAGUUGGCCCAGUGUCAGGAGACGCCAGCCGGGGAGGAGGACAGUGAUACGGAUCUCACCUAUGGAGAGGUGGAGCAACGGCUGGACCUGCUGCAGCAACACCUGAACAGACUGGAGUCCCAGAUGACUGCAGACAUCCAGGGCCAUCCUGCAGCUCCUCCAGCGACAGACCACGGCCGGCCCC
This is a long non-coding RNA of Amphiprion ocellaris (clown anemonefish), 1107 nucleotides long. NCBI's taxonomy places the organism in Eukaryota, Metazoa, Chordata, Actinopteri, Pomacentridae. The record is from Ensembl.